Bos taurus (domestic cattle) is the source of this 72-nucleotide non-coding RNA. The record is from Rfam. NCBI's taxonomy places the organism in Eukaryota, Metazoa, Chordata, Mammalia, Artiodactyla, Bovidae.
UCCCAGGUGUCUCAGAUGGUAAAGAAACUGCCUGCAAUGCAGGACACUCAGGUUCAAUCCCUGGGUUGGGAA